Molecule: ribosomal RNA, 534 nt
Filed under: Purpureocillium lilacinum
Lineage: Eukaryota; Fungi; Ascomycota; Sordariomycetes; Hypocreales; Ophiocordycipitaceae
Description: partial 16S ribosomal RNA
Rfam family: 5.8S ribosomal RNA (bases 197-350)
Source: RNAcentral
GAGGGAUCAUUACGUUACAACUCCCAAACCCACUGUGAACCUUACCUCAGUUGCCUCGGCGGGAACGCCCCGGCCGCCUGCCCCCGCGCCGGCGCCGGACCCAGGCGCCCGCCGCAGGGACCCCAAACUCUCUUGCAUUACGCCCAGCGGGCGGAAUUUCUUCUCUGAGUUGCACAAGCAAAAACAAAUGAAUCAAAACUUUCAACAACGGAUCUCUUGGUUCUGGCAUCGAUGAAGAACGCAGCGAAAUGCGAUAAGUAAUGUGAAUUGCAGAAUUCAGUGAAUCAUCGAAUCUUUGAACGCACAUUGCGCCCGCCAGCAUUCUGGCGGGCAUGCCUGUUCGAGCGUCAUUUCAACCCUCGAGCCCCCCCGGGGGCCUCGGUGUUGGGGGACGGCACACCAGCCGCCCCCGAAAUGCAGUGGCGACCCCGCCGCAGCCUCCCCUGCGUAGUAGCACACACCUCGCACCGGAGCGCGGAGGCGGUCACGCCGUAAAACGCCCAACUUUCUUAGAGUGACCUCGAUCAGUAGAUG